RNAcentral lists this ribosomal RNA (508 nucleotides) under uncultured bacterium. RNAcentral describes it as "partial 16S ribosomal RNA". It matches the Rfam family "Bacterial small subunit ribosomal RNA", at positions 28 to 507 of the family's 1533-position model. The record is from RNAcentral.
GACGAACGCUGGCGGCGUGCCUAAUACAUGCAAGUCGAACGCUUCUUUCCUCCCGAGUGCUUGCACUCAAUUGGAAAGAGGAGUGGCGGACGGGUGAGUAACACAUGGGUAACCUACCCAUCAGAGGGGGAUAACACUUGGAAACAGGUGCUAAUACCGCAUAACAGUUUAUGCCGCAUGGCAUAAGAGUGAAAGGCGCUUUCGGGUGUCGCUGAUGGAUGGACCCGCGGUGCAUUAGCUAGUUGGUGAGGUAACGGCUCACCAAGGCCACGAUGCAUAGCCGACCUGAGAGGGUGAUCGGCCACACUGGGACUGAGACACGGCCCAGACUCCUACGGGAGGCAGCAGUAGGGAAUCUUCGGCAAUGGACGAAAGUCUGACCGAGCAACGCCGCGUGAGUGAAGAAGGUUUUCGGAUCGUAAAACUCUGUUGUUAGAGAAGAACAAGGACGUUAGUAACUGAACGUCCCCUGACGGUAUCUAACCAGAAAGCCACGGCUAACUACGUG